Long non-coding RNA from Ceratosolen solmsi marchali, 217 nucleotides. RefSeq lists it as uncharacterized. NCBI's taxonomy places the organism in Eukaryota, Metazoa, Arthropoda, Insecta, Hymenoptera, Agaonidae. The record is from RefSeq and is a predicted model, not a curated record. The transcript is spliced from 3 exons.
GAGAGAGAGAGAGAUAGAGAGAGAGAGAGAGAGAGAGAGAGAGAGAAAGAAAGAAACAACUUUCACGCGGAUUCGUCUGGUGAGCCAAUGCUCGUCGUAAGCAUGCAAGUGGAAUAAUAUAAUAAGGUAGCGUUGGCAAAGAAAUACGAGAUAUAGCGAGUACAUGUAUAGGUAUAUGUGUGUGUACUUGGGUGGAUGGGUGAGUGAGUGGGUGGAU